This 4216-nucleotide long non-coding RNA is filed under the name Cricetulus griseus (Chinese hamster). Its description in RNAcentral is "lncRNA (ENSCGRG00000024812.1)". The record is from RNAcentral. Lineage: Eukaryota; Metazoa; Chordata; Mammalia; Rodentia; Cricetidae.
AUGGGGCCUCUGAGACCGUCCCGAGUGUUUAUUUCACACGAUACUGUGCCCCCCAGCUAUGCAACUGCACAGCCGGACAGGUGGCUUUUCACUACACUCUUAGGGUCUGUCUUUUCCAGCUCUAUUUCCGCUCUUUCUUUCCCUCUCUCUUUCUCUGGUUCCCCUGGGGCAGACAGGACUUUUCCUGUCUCCCUCUUCUCUUCUGUCCUCUUUGUCUCUCUGUCUCUUUGCCUCUUUUCUCUUUCCUUCCCCUUCCCUCCCUUUUCUAGUAAAACUUAUCACUUAAGCUCUGUCUGCCUGGCCUGUUUGUCCCCUGCCUCAGUCAUUCUCACCUGCCAUGGGAUCCACAAUGGGCCCCUAUGCAAGGUCCCCUCAAGCUUUAUCCUAACUCUAGGAAUUCUUGAGAACAAAGGAACCAACCCCUGCUGCCCUUUGGUAUAUCGGGGACUUCCACUCCACCACCCAGUUUCCAAAGCUUUAGACUCAAGAGGAUAUAUGGGGCACAGUGCCCUUCAGUCCAUCCCCCAGACUUUGAGCGUCAAGGAAAUCCAGGUGAACCUGAACUGGGAGCCGGUGCUGGCCAUCUUGCUGUCACCUGUGAGGUAGCUGGAGCCCAGGUCGAAUCAAUUGCAGGCCGCAUGAGACUCCAGAAUCAAGAUGGCAAACCUUUGGAUGUCAUCAGCGGACUCCAGUUCAGAUCCCCUUGGACAGACCUAGGUUACAGAAGAACCUGAACCCCAAGUGCGAACUGGGGUGACCCAAAGGGCUCCCUUCACUUCCUCCAGAGAGAGAGAGCACUGAGGUCGGCUUUCCCUAAGUAUGGGAGACACAAACUGUGAGUCCUUCCAGGUAAGAUGACAUCUGGCAGUGACAUAGUCUGACAAAGGACUUAGAAAAGAAAGUGUAAAAUAGCUCCUCAGUCUUCCCACAUUGGCACUCUCCCCAUGAGGGAUACUGGAACAUAGGUUUCUGUUUCAGUCGCCAUAAUCUGAGUGGCUUCCUCACAAAGAUUCUUUGGACUCUAGGUUUCUCAUGAGUCCUUUUAUAAUGAAGGCAGGAGAAAGGCUCUAGCUGAGUACAUUCCCACGUUGGCCACAUUUUUAAAUAUAAUUAUUUAACUCUACUUUCUGUGCAUUGGUGUACAGGUAUCAGAUCCCCUGGAACUGGAGUUUCAGUCAGUUGUAAGCUACCAUGUGGGUGCUGGGAAUUGAACCUGGGUCCUCUGGAAGAGCAGUAGCCCAUGCUCUUAACUGCUGAGCUGUAGUGGCAUCUUGCCUUGCCAGUGAACUUGUAGUGGUGGCCACACCCUUUGGGCGUGUUUUCAGGUGCAGAUUUCAGGUGACCCAUUAGGUUUCGGAGAUAUAGGACGCACAGAGACGACAUCUUCCAGAGCAGGAAGGCCAUGGGGAUUAUUUACUCUUUAUCUAUGUAAGUGCUUUCCUAAUAAAUACAUAUUUAUCAUCUACCUUGGGUCUGGUGGACUCAUUUAAACCCCGCCCUCACUGAGCCGUCUCUCCAGCCCUGGCCACAUUUUUAAAGACCUCUUUCCAGUGUGACAUUUCUGGUGCUGAGAGAAACUGCAGCUUUGAUCAAAGGUGUUCCUAAAUCCAGUGCACUUGGAAAGCUCUAGCAUGUCCUUCCUGGUGCUUGGACAGGUUAGCGCUAUAGCGGAAUGCUUUUCCACAUUUGCUGCAAUGUGUAGGCUUUUCUCCAGUAUAGAUUCUCGGGUGCUGACUGAGGAUGGGGCUUUCACCAAAGACUUUCCCACACCAGCCACACUCAAGGCCCUUUUCCAAAUAUGAACUUUCCAGUGCUUAGCAAAAUUAGAGCUAUAGCUGAAGGCUUUCCUGCAUUCACUGCCUUUGUAAGGCUCGCUCUCCUGUGAACCUUCUGGUGCUGAAUGACGGCAGAGCUUUGGCUGAAGGCUUUUCUACGUUCUGAGGCUUCAUAAGGGCUCCCCCCCCCCCCCCGCAUGAAUUCGCCGGUGUGGAGCAAGGUUAGAGAGAGGACUGAAGGCUUUCCCACCCUGGUUGAGGUUAUCGGGUCUUUCUGCAGUGCGGCUCCUUUGAUGCAGAACAAGCUUGGGGGUUUGUGGAAAGGCUUUCCCACAGUCACUGCACUCUGGAGGCCUUUCUGUGUUGGGAACUUUCUGGUCACCAACAAGGCAGGAGCUCUAUAUGGGGCUUUCCUACACUCGUUGCAUUGUAAGGCCUUUCUCCAUUGUGUAUAUCCUGGUGCUCAACAAAAUUGGAACCAAAGACUCUUCCUGCACCAGUUGUAUUCAGAAGGCCUUUCUGUGUUGUGAACGUUCUGAGGCCAAACAACAUGGAAGCUUCAAGCAAAGGCUUCCUCAGCACUGGCCACGCUCAUACGGCCUUCCUCUACUGCGAACUCUCUGGCGCCGAACCGCUGAGGGUUUUCAGGUGGAAGCUUUUCCACAUUGACUACAGGUAGGAUGUGACAUUUCCCUAUGAUCUUCCUGAUGUGACCUUAGUUUGAAAAGUGGCUGAAGAUCUUCCAUUUGUCACACACACAUGAAAUGUUUUCCAUGUGAUAUUUGUUGUCAUUAACAUGAUUUGAGUUCUCGGUGAGCCCAUUCCCACUUGUUGGACAUCUCAAGUGUCUUUCUUCACAAUGUGUUGUCAGGGAAGCAAAGGCCUUUUGCAAGCAUGUUCCACAGAUGCUGCAUUGGAAAGGCUUCUGUGUAUUACAACUUCCUGCUGUUCCUUGUGGCUAGACCAAGGGAAGGCAGUACUGUGCUCAGUGUUCUCUUUGCUGGGGAUCAGAGCCUUCGAAGAUCUUUCUCUCUCUCUCUCUCUCUCUCUCUCUCUCUCUCUCUCUCUCCUUUCUUUCAUGGUUUUCCAAAACAGGGUUUCUCUGUGUAACAGCCCUGGCUCUCCUGGAACUCUGUGUAGACCAGGCUGGCCUCAAACUCACAAAGAUCUACCUGCCUCUCCCUCCCAGCAAAGAUACCUUUGUCUUCUUUUUUUUUUUUUUUUUUUUGCUUUUUUUAGAUUUAUUUAUUUGUCUUCAUGUAAGCCUGCAGGCCAGAAGAGGGCACCAGAUCUCAUUACGGAUGCUUGUGAGUUGCUGAGGAUUGAAUUCAGGACUCUGGAAGAGCAGCCAGUGAUCUUAACUGCUGAGCCCUGACUGUCCUGGAACUCUCUCUGUAGACCAGGCUGGCUUUGAACUCAGAGAUCCACCUGUCCCUGCCUCCCAAGUGUGUUGUGUUCCCCUAUGUUCUUCAAAAAGUUUUCAAGACUGUGCCACACACACCUCUAGUAUAGACCUUCCAGCCUGUCUUAUAGGUCCCAAACUGGAACACUACAAACACAACCUGCCGAGGAAAGCCUUUCUCCAGUCCAUGCCAGCACCCUAAGGAAUAUAUGCACCAGGAAAGUAUCUGUGGGGGCUUUGUUGGAACCGGACAGUCUAUUUUUUUGCUUUUGUUUUUGUUUUUUUUUUGCCCCCCCCCCCCCACACACACAGGGUUUCUCUGUGUAGCUUUGGAGCCUAUCCUGGCACUUGAUCUGGAGACCAGGCUGGCCUCAAACUCACAGAGAUCUGCUUGCCUCUGCCUCCUGAGUGCUGGGAUUAAAGGCGUGCGACACCAAUGCCCGGCCAGGCAGUCUAGUUUUGUGAGUUCAUUUUGUUUGAGAUAGUUUCCUGUUUGUCCUCCGGCAUGUCUUCAUCUAGCCGUGAUUCUCCUCCUUCUAGCUCCAAAGAUAGAUUACAGGUGUGUGUCAUCACCAAGCUUGUGUGCAGCCUCUUUACAAGCGCAGAUCCAGCCAGGUGUGGUGGCUCAUGCCUUUAAUCUCAGCGCUCAGGAGACAGAGGCAGGUGGAUCUCUGUGUGUUCAAGGCCAGCCUGGCGGUCUACAGAGCAAGUUCUAGGACAGCCAGAAUUGUUACACACACAGGGAAACUCUGUCUACAAAAAACAAAAUAAAUAGAAGAGUUGCCUAACACUAUUUAAAAAUUGGUGCUACUCCUGUUGGGGGGGGGGGUAGGGCUUUCAAGGGUGGAGAUUUCCACUGUUGGGAUUGGUGGAAUUUCAAGUCCUGAACUUGGGCUUUUCCCUCUAUAGGAGUGGGGCUGGGGCUGGUUGUUAGGGCAGUCAGAGUGUUCUGUGUGUGGAACCCAGCCAUUGGAGGUCUUCAGGGGGCCUGGCCACUCCAAGCCUUGAGGGACUUAUACCUUCCCCUGAAAUUGCUCUU